UAAACAGUUUAAAACCACGUCUGAAACGUUGCUUCUGUUUGCCAGUGCUGUGGGAAGACGUCGUUACCGAAGAGGCCACUUUACCGACAUUUUGCGUCUCUUUGUCAUUUUGUGUUUCACCCUAGCCAUUUAAAGUCAUUUAUGUUGGUUGUUUAUCAUGUCGUUGUCGUUGUUUGUGGCUGUUUGCGGUCAUUUUGUAUUAUUUUGCGUCUCCACCUGGUUGUUUUUCACCCGGGUGUUAGCAUUAGCAUUAACAUCGAGCGUUAGCAUUAGCCUUCUCUGUAAACGAUGUGUUUUGGGGUUUAUCGUCGUUUUUUAUGCGUGGGGUAAAGCGUGUUUGUGUGUCUGUGUGAGUUGUGGAGGGCUGUACGGUAGUCUGUCUGUUUACAACUCCGUUCGCAUCUUUUGCAGUUACUUUCCAGACAGUUACUGCUUCUUUGUAAUGCUAUGCUCCAUCUUGGUCAGUUUAAGUCGGUUUAUGGUGGAUUAUCAUGUCGACGUGAUCAUUUGUGUCUAUUUGCGAUAGUACUACAUCAUUUCCGUCUAUAGCUGGGUGUUUCACAUCUACUUAUGCACAGCUUCUUUGUGGUUGUUUUGCACCGUGUUGUGUCUUUGUAGUUUUGUGUCUAUUCCUGGUUAUAAAACGUUUCUUUGUGGCCAUUUUGUGUUUCAGUGUGGCAGAUUUUUUCCUCUUUGUCGUGUGUGUCGUUGUAGCUUUGUGGCACUAAUCUGUCCAUACUGUCCAGAUUUAAUUGAGGUCAGUUUUGUGUUAAAUACAAGAUUGAAAACUAGAUUUUAACUGUACUCCUCCACAAGUUUUAAGCCUCAGGAGUAGGUCACAAUGUAUGAGCUGAAAUUACUUGAGAAAUUAUUAUAAAACUAUUUUAAAAAAUGCCUUUCUCUCUGAGCCCAAUAAAGUCAUAUUCUAGUAACAUAACAAUUCAUUCACCUCAAAACUCAUAGUGUGAUUGUCAAGAUGCUAGUGUUUAGUUUUCAGUGUUGUGUUCUUCUAUACUGAUCAAGUUUCGGAGGUGAACUAUUCUUUAUUAAUGAGGUUAUUUGUUGUAUUUGUAUUUUCCAGGUUCACUGGUUCAGCUGCUGCAGCCUGGACACAAACACCAGCUCUCACCUCACAGACCAAACAGGUGUCACCACUUCGUCCACGAUCGCAGAGAGUCUUCGUACAAUGAAGAAGUUCUUUGAGACAGAGGCCUCCAGGAUUCAGACUUUAGCCAUUAAAUCACAGAGAAAGGAGACAGAUGUGAAGACAUUUCCAGAAGGUCUUCAGCUGCUGUCGUCUUCCCCUCCUGCAGAGACGAGAACACGUCUAUUUUUCCUUUCCUAAACUCUCCUUUUUCUUUUUUGAUACCUAAUUACAGUGAUUUAAACCAAACAUUUUACAACUCAAUAUCACAUAUUUUAAUGUGUUUUUCACAGUAAUGAUUAGAAACAGUUCUGAAACUCUUUAUAAAAUAAGAACCUACUGUAAUCAUCACAUAGUUAUCUGUCAGAUUUCUUAGAGAUAAACACGAACCAUGUAAUAGAUACAGGGAAACUAUUUAAACUGUUAUAAUGAACAGUACUUACAGAGGUAAACCUACGAUAGAGUUUUUAACCUUUCCUAAUAUUCCUUUUUGACCAUUUUUGCCUUACUAUACUAUGACAUUGUUUGGUGGUUUUUGACAUCUCAGUAAAAUGACAUGGUUGGACUAUGCUUUGAUGCAGUUUAAGGCACAGGAACUAUCUUACCCUUGUUUUCCACAGACGCACACAUUCAGUCACAUCUCUACACAGUGUUUGUCAGUUAGGUAAGAUUUUGUUUUUGUCAUUUCAUUUUGGUAUUUUGUUAUUUCAAAUUAUGCAAUAUCAGUAGUCCUAUCUAUUGCUGUGUACAUAGUCCUGUUUGUACUGUUUAUAUUGUUUUUAAGUUUACAUACUGUUAUAUUUGAUCUUACUUUAUGCUGCAACACUGAAUUUCUAAUUAAGGAUUAUCUUACUAUUUCUCAAAUAAAUACUCUAUUAUGAACACUGAA
Lates calcarifer (barramundi perch) is the source of this 2033-nucleotide long non-coding RNA. RefSeq lists it as uncharacterized. The transcript has 4 exons. The record is from RefSeq and is a predicted model, not a curated record. Lineage: Eukaryota; Metazoa; Chordata; Actinopteri; Centropomidae.